UAUCAUGAUGUAUUAUGUAUUUUAUGUAUUGUUUGAUUAGAUUUGCUAAAAUAUUAAGUAUUUUUGUGUCUAUGUUCAUGAGGGAUGCUGAUGUAUAAUUUUCUUUUCUUAUGAUAUCUUUGGUUCUAGAGUCAAAGUAAUACUGAUUUUAUACAAUGACUUGGUGCAUAUUCUCUUUCAUUUUCUGAAAAAAUGUGUAGGAAUACUUUUUUUUUAUGUUUUACGUUUUAUCAGUGAAGCCAUUUGGCCUGCAGUUUUCUUUGUGUGAAGGUAUUUGAAAUUCUUUAUUAGAUAUAGGGAUAUUGGAUUUUCUAUUUCUUUUCUUUUCUUUUUUUUUUUUUUUUUUUUUUUUUGGUGGAGACAGGGUCUCAGUAUGUUGCCCAGGCUAAUUUUAAAUGCCUGGCCUCAGGGUGAUCUUCCUGUCUUGGUCUCUCAAAGUGCUAGGAUUACAGGUGUGACCCACUGCACCCGGCUGAUUUUCUGUUUCUUCUUGUGUCAUUUUGGCAAGUUGUGUCUUUUAAAGACUUUGUAAACUUCAUUUUUGUUGUUGAACUUAUCGACAUAACAUUGUUCACAGUAUGCUUUCAUUAUUCCUUUAAUAUCUUUGUAAUUUGUUGUGAUGUCCUUUCUUUUAUUACUGAUAUUUGUAAUUUGUGUUUUUUUUUGAUUAGCCUUGGUAUGAGUUUAUCAGUUUUAUUAACCUUUUCAAAGAGCUAACUUCUGGUUUGCUGAUAUUCAGUUUCAUUGAUCUACUCUAUUAUGAACAAAUAUCUUCUUACUUUGGUUUUGAUUAACUCUUUUUCUAGCUUCUCAAGUGGGUAACAGAUAGUGAUUUUAUGUUUUUUCUUUUCUAAUCCAGGCAUUUUAAAGCUACACAAUUCCCUAAAGAGCUGCUUUAACUGCAGCCCUCAGAUUUUGACAUGUAUUAUCAUUCAGUUCAAAAUAUUUUCCAAUUUUCUUUGUGACUUAUUCUUUGAACUAUAAGUGAUUUAGAAGUGUAUAGUUUAAUUUCCAAACAAUUGGGGGAAUUUUCUAGAUAUUUUAUUAUUAUUGAUUACUAAUUUAAUGCUGUAGUGGCCAAAGAAUAUACUCUGUAUAAUUCAAAUGUUUUAAAUUUAUUGAGACUUGUUUUGUGGCCCAGCAUAUGGUCUGUUUUGGUGAAGGUUUCAUGUGCACUUGAAAGGAAUGUGUAUGCUACUUUUGAUGUGUGUAGUGUCCCACAAAUACCAAUGGCAUCAAGUUGGUUGAUAGUGCUAUUCAAAUCUUCCAUAUCCUUACUGUUUUUUUUUCCCUAAUUUUACCAGCUGUUGAGAGAGGGGGUGUCAACAUCUCUAACUAUGGGAUUUUGGUGGUGUCUAUAUUUCCUUUGUUCUCUCAAUUUUUGCUUUAUGUAUUUGGGACCUGUGAUAUUGCAUUAUAUAUAUAUUUUUUAAUUUUAAUUUUAAUUUAUUUUUUUGAGACAGAGUCUCAUUCUGUCACCCAGGCUGGAGUGCAGUGGCACAAUCUUGGCUCACUGCAGCCUCCAUCUCCUGGAUUCAAGUGGUUCUCCUGUCUCAGAGUCCCAAGUAGCUGGGAUUACAGGUGUCCACCACCACUCCUGUCUAAUUUUUGUAUCUUUAGUAGAGAUGGGGUUUCACCAUGUUGGCUAGACUGGCCUCGAACUCCUGAUCUCAAGUGAUCCACCCACGUCAGCCUCCCAAAGUGCUGGGAUUACAGACAUAAACCACCGUACCCUGGCCUAUAUAUUUGGUUUUCGUCUCCAUUUCCUGACAUAUCAGCUUCUAACUCUCUUGGAAUCUCCUGAGUGAUAAGAGUGUCUUUUUUAUGCUAAUGAGAUGACUAUGGCCAGAGGCCCCAAGGUAGCUUCAGGAUGGGGCUGGUCACCAUAAAGACCAAAGUAGGAUUAGGGGACUGGAACUUUCAGCACCCCCCUACCACAGGGAGGGGAGAGGGUCUAAAGGUUUAGUUGAUCACCAAUGGCCAAUGAUAUAUUUUCUGACCUCUUUACUCUUUAUUAUUUACUCAUUCCUUUUUGCAGAACUAUGCUUUUAAGAUUAUAUAUAUCUAUAUAGCUCUUUCUCUAUAUCUAUCUAUAUAUACACAUAUAUAUAUUUGAGGUUCUGAAAGUAUAAGUAUACAUAUAGGCAUAUAUUUUUACAUUUCUUAUAGUGCAGUACUGCUGGAGUCCAGCAUCUACUUCUUCAUUUUAUAACUUGGAUUAGAUCUCAGUUAACUAACCUAUACCAUGCCUCUUAUUUUGUCAAAGAGAAUGUUUAUUUUUAAACCUUAAGCUUUCUGAUGAAUCAUAAACCAUAAUUUCCUAUUUUGAUUUAGCCAGUGAGGUAAUAUCAAGUUGCUUCCCCAGGUUUUUCUUUUUCUUUUUUUUUUUUUUCUUUGAGACAGAGUUUUUGUUCUUGUUGCCCAGGCUGGAGUGCAGUGGUGCAAUCUCAGCUCACUGUGACAUCUGCGUCCUGGGUUCAAGUGACUCUUCUGCCUCAGCCUCCCAAGUAGCUGGGAUUAUAGGCAUGCGCCACCAUGCCUGGCUAAUUUUGUAUCUUUAAUAGAGACAGAGUUUCUCCAUGUUGGUCAGGCUGGUCUUGAACUCCCGACCUCAGGUGAUCCACCCACCUUGGCCUCCCAAAGUGCUGGGAUUACAGGCGUGAGCCAUCGUGCCUGGCCUCAGAUUUUUCCUAUAUAUAAAUUUUACAAUGGCUUAUCCUUAAAAAGUACUUAAGUUAUUCUAUUAUUGCUGCAUAACAAAUUACCUGAAAAUUUAGUGGUAUCCAACCAUAAUGUUUCAUUUUUCUCAUGAUUUUGUCAGGGAUUAGGUGAGGCAGUCUCACUUUGGAGUCUGUCAUGCAGUUUUGGCCAGAUGUCAGAUGGGGCUGCAGUCAUGUGAAGGUUCUACUGGGCCGGAAACCUACAAUGACCCUCACACAUGGCUGGCAGGCUGUUGGGAGCUCAGCUGAAACUGUUGGCUGGAGCAUUUAUAUGCAGCUUGUCCAUGACAGUGAUUUCAGGAUAACUGGACUUUUUACAUGGGCUGGUUUCACCUGAGAGGAAGUGUCUCAAGAGAACCAGGCAGAAAUUUUUCAGACCUUUUAGAGGCUUUUCAGAACUAUACUUGGUGUAGUAUCAUUUCUGUUGUGUUCUAUUGUUUGAAGCAGUCACAAGCGUGUCCAGAUUCAAGUGGUGGUGACAUACCCCCCAUCUCUUCAUGGGAUGAGUGUCAAAGAGCUUGUGGGCAAUACAUUUAUACUGUUUCAUGGUUACUGAAGUAUAUCUUACAUGUAAUAAAAUGCACGGAUCUUAAGCAUCGAGUUCAAUGAAUUUUGGUAAUUGUUUAGACCCCUGCAUCAACUGCCUGAUGUCAGGUACAGAACAUUGUUUUCACUCUGUAAACUUCCCUUGCGUGCCUUUCAAGUCAAUCCUCACACAUAGUUUUUCCUGUUCUGUGAAGGCACAUAAGUGGAAUUAUACUAUUUGUGUAUUUGGCUUCUUCAACUCAAAUAAAACUUUCAGAUUCAUCCAU
This 3532-nucleotide long non-coding RNA is filed under the name Homo sapiens (human). Its description in RNAcentral is "non-protein coding lnc-ZNF485-6:1". Lineage: Eukaryota; Metazoa; Chordata; Mammalia; Primates; Hominidae. The record is from RNAcentral.